Musa acuminata AAA Group (dessert banana) is the source of this 2965-nucleotide RNA transcript. It is a transcript of the gene named protein OCTOPUS-like, with no coding region annotated. The transcript has 2 exons. The record is from RefSeq and is a predicted model, not a curated record. Lineage: Eukaryota; Viridiplantae; Streptophyta; Magnoliopsida; Zingiberales; Musaceae.
CUCGUGGAAUCCUAUUUCUCACAUUUCCUCGUCUCUUUUGUAUCCACUUUACUGACAUCUCCCUCUCUCUCCCCCUCGUUGAGCAACGACGAUUCCUUCCUCGCUAUUUCCUUCCCCCCCUCUAAGCUCUACGCGAGUCGAGACGACACCGAGAGAAGACUGCUAGCGAGCGAACUGGGAAAGCGGGGGUGGGGGGGUGGGGGGCGCGGGGGAGAGAGAGAGAUGGCUUCGUUCAUUGCGGGGGACUGGACCAGUCGCGACGCUUCCAUGAUGGUCGACAUGGAGAGCCACCAUCACCAACAGCAGCGGCAACUCCAUCCGCCUCUGCAGGCCCAGCGCCGGGCGCCUUCCUCCACUUGCGACCUCCACCCGGGCGAGACCGUCACUGGCUUCUGCGCAUCUUGCCUCCGCGAGCGCCUCGCUGGCCUCGAGACCCCCACUGCUGCUUCCGGCCGCAAGUCCACCUCCGCCCUCCGAUCCGUGUUUUGCAAGGUGACCGCUGGUGCCGCCCCUUCCGCGGGCCCCUCAUUCCUCCGCCGGUCCAAGUCCUUCUCCUUUGGCCGCGGCGGCGGCGGCGGCGGCGGGGGCGGGGCCGGCGACGGGUUCUCUGCCCAGCGACCCCCCGCCGCCGCCUUCGAGCCCCAGCGCAGGUCCUGCGACGUCCGCGGCCGCAGCACGCUGUGGUCCCUCUUCCACGAGGACGACCGCCACAGGGGGCCUCAAAGCGCCUCGACCUCCACCGUCGCCGCGGCGUCUGCUGGGGUAGCAAACGAUGUGGUGUGCCGGAACCAAGGCCAUUCGGGUCCCUCCGUCGCCCCUCCCGUCCCCGAAACCCGCGAAGAGGAGGUCGACGACGGCGGCGACGAGAUCAGGCCUGUUGACCCUGUCGUCCUGGUGGUCGGAUCCUCGGGGGAGAUAACUGAGGAAAGGCAGGAGGGGGCUGAGGAGAAGAAGGCGGAACUGAAGCCGAUGAAGGACCACAUAGAUCGCGACUCCCAGCAGCAGGCAAAGAAACCGCCGUCCAAGGACCUCAAGGAAAUCGCCAGCAGCUUCUGGCUCGCGGCCUCCGUGUUCAGCAAAAAGCUCCAGAAGUGGGGGAGAAGACAGAAGCUGAAGAAGCAAGGCGGCGACGCCGCAAUGCCGGCGGAGAAGCCAGCCAAGACAUCCCGGCGGUUUCGCGACACGCAGUCGGAGGUCGCCGUGGAUGCCUCCGGCCGGAGAUCCUGCGACACCGACCCGCGCUUCUCUCUGGACGCCGGCCGGAUGUCCUUCGACGACCCCAGGUUCUCGUGGGACGAGCCGAGGGCGUCUUGGGACGGGUACCUGUUUGGAGGCCGAUCCGUGCUCCCUCGGCUCCCUCCCAUGCUCUCCGUCGUCGAGGACGCCCCCGCCCCUGCUGUCCAACGGUCAGACUACCUGAUCCCCGUCGAGGAGGACGCCGCGAUCCCAGGGGGGUCCACGCAGACUCGAGACUACUACUUGGACUCCUCCAGUCGGCGGAGGCGAAGCCUCGACCGCUCCAGCUCCGUCAGGGAGCAGCCUGUCGAGACCAGUGAGCCUAAGCCGGUCUCCAACGGGAAGGUAUCCCCUGCAAAUGGAAUGGACUUCUUACACUUUCACCAUGACACCUUACUUGACCGGGAUGUGAAAGACUGGAGCUCGAAUUCUCUGAGGGACGAUUACUCGGGCAGCUUCGAGUCGGCUUUCAGGGAUCCUCACAGAGGUGCUGCUGCCAAAAAGUCCAGGAGGUGGAGCAAAGCAUGGAAUAUAUGGGGUUUUAUUCAGCGAAGAAACAGUGGCAGAGGAGAAACCAAUAUGGUCGAGCGAUCCUUGUCGGAGACCUGGCCGGAGCUAGGAUCCAAGAGCUUUAGUAGCAAGAUUCUCCGGAGUAAUAGCAGUGUGAGCUUCAGGAGCUCUUUCAGUGGCAGUGCCGGGUUUGGGGGCACGAAGAACAGCAGUACGAAGCCCAAUGGCAAUCAUAAGAACAGGAGAGAUGAAUUUGGUUUGGAGAGGAACAGAAGUGCUCGGUAUUCUCCAAACCAUGUAGACAAUGGCAUGCUGCGGUUUUACUUGACGCCGAUGCGAAAUAGCCGGAGGACUGGAGUUUCAGCGAGCGGGAGACAGAUACCUUCCCAAUACUUCACAAGGAGCUUGCUUGGAUUGCAUUGAGCUGAUUCUUCCUUCCUUCUAUCAGGUUCCUAUUCUUCUGUUAAAUCUGUGUCUUAUUCUGCUGGAGAUUGUUGGAACAAUGCUGUUUUUUGUGCUUCAACAAUAAUUGCCUUCGCCUAACCCACUUUAAAUUGUGAUCAACUUACAGAUUGUUGGAGAAUAACAUCUGAUCAUUAUGGAACCUACACUAACCAGUGAGAUCAACUUAUUAGCAAUGGUGAUCCUGUUCAGAGCAGAAAAUGUGGUCAUCACUCUGGGAUUAUUUUCUUUUCUUCUUGGUUCAUGGACCCUCACUGCGAAAGUGUAAUAACAUUUUUUUCGGUAAAUCGAAGUCAGCUUGAUGCUGAGGCCAUGUUACAUUAUGCUCAUAUAUAUGGGGACUGGGAAUGACAAAAAGCUCAAGUAUGGGAACUUGAUGAAUCAUGAAUCAGGGGGAUUCAGAUUUCACUUUGCUUCUAGCCCUUGCCACAUUUUACCCAGGAGCCGGUGAUACCGCCUCAAAUCCAGCUGAAAACUACUAAUUCUGGGUUGAUCUGAUCAAAAGAUUUAUAAUGGCAGCCUAAUUUGAGUGUCAGUCCUUUUCCUAUCUUUUCCUCCAUGUCAUUUGCACAGCAUGAGACGAUACCUGAGUCUGCAAGCAAGCAAACAGGACACAGCGUGAAACACUCGUUGGAGAAGAAAGGUGACUGCACUAACUCUACCCUGGAGAUUAUUUGUGUUGUUCUUACCCAUAAAUUCCCAGGCCUUGUCAAUAAUUCUCUUGUUCUUGCAGUCUCUAUGUGUCUUAAGCAGUUCA